Molecule: unclassified non-coding RNA, 340 nt
Filed under: soil metagenome
Description: partial contains 5.8S ribosomal RNA, internal transcribed spacer 2, and large subunit ribosomal RNA
Rfam family: 5.8S ribosomal RNA (bases 1-120)
Source: RNAcentral
GAUGAAGAACGCAGCGAAAUGCGAUAAGUAGUGUGAAUUGCAGAAUUCAGUGAAUCAUCGAAUCUUUGAACGCACAUUGCGCCCUUUGGUAUUCCUUAGGGCAUGCCUGUUCGAGCGUCAUUUACACCUUCAAGCUCUGCUUGGUGUUGGGCGUCUGUCCUGCCCCUCGGGGCGUGGACUCGCCUUAAAUCUAUUGGCGGCCGGUACCGUGGCUUUGAGCGCAGCACAUCAGCGACCUCAUCGCCGGAGCGUAUCGACUCCCAGAAGCCCAUUUUCUAUGUUUUGACCUCGGAUCAGGUAGGGAUACCCGCUGAACUUAAGCAUAUCAAUAAGCGGAGGA